RNAcentral lists this ribosomal RNA (460 nucleotides) under uncultured bacterium. RNAcentral describes it as "partial 16S ribosomal RNA". It matches the Rfam family "Bacterial small subunit ribosomal RNA", at positions 338 to 795 of the family's 1533-position model. The record is from RNAcentral.
CCUACGGGAGGCAGCAGUGGGGAAUCUUUGACAAUGGACGAAAGUCUGAUCCAGCCACGCCGCGUGCGGGAAGAAGGCUCUAUGAGUUGUAAACUGCUUUUGUACAAGAGUAAACCUGAAGACGUGUAUUCCACUGAAAGUACUGUACGAAUACGGAUCGGCUAACUCCGUGCUAGCAGCCGCGGUAAUACGGAGGAUCCAAGCGUUGUUCGGAUUUAUUGGGUUUAAAGGGUGCGUAGGAGGAUUGAUAAGUUAGAGGUGAAAUGUCCGAUCUUAACUCGGGAACUGCCUCUAAUACUGUUGAUCUAGAGAGUAGGUGCGGUAGGCGGAAUGCAUGGUGUAGCGGUGAAAUGCGUAGAGAGCAGAAAGAACACCGGUGGCGAAGGCAGCUUACUGAUCUAUAACUGACGUUGAGGCACGAAAGCGUGGGGAGCAAACAGGAUUAGAUACCCCGGUAGUC